GACGAACGCUGGCGGCGGGCUUAACACAUGCAAGUCGAACGGAAAGGCCCUGCUUGUGUGGGGUGCUCGAGUGGCGAACGGGUGAGGAACACGUGAGUAACCGGCCCUUGACUUUGGGAUAACUUCAGGAAACUGGGGCUAAGACCGGAUAGGAGAUCCUGCUGCAUGGUGGGGGGUGGAAAGUUGCGGCGGUUGGGGAUGGACGCGCGGCUUAUCAGCUUGUUGGUGGGGUAGUGGCUUACCAAGGCUUUGACGGGUAGCCGGCCUGAGAGGGUGACCGGCCACCUUGGGACUGCGAUACGGCCCAGACUCCUACGGGAGGCAGCGGUGGGGAAUCUUGCCCAAUGGUCCCACGCCUGAUGCAGCAACGCCGCGUGCGGGAUGACGGCCUUCGGGUUGUAAACCGCUUUCGCCUGUGACGAAGCGUGAGUGACGGUACUGGGUAAAGAAGCACCGGCUAACUACGUG
Molecule: ribosomal RNA, 468 nt
Filed under: uncultured bacterium
Lineage: Bacteria
Description: partial 16S ribosomal RNA
Rfam family: Bacterial small subunit ribosomal RNA
Source: RNAcentral